RNAcentral lists this ribosomal RNA (253 nucleotides) under uncultured bacterium. Its description in RNAcentral is "partial 16S ribosomal RNA". It matches the Rfam family "Bacterial small subunit ribosomal RNA", at positions 524 to 776 of the family's 1533-position model. The record is from RNAcentral.
GACAGAGGGUGCAAACGUUGUUCGGAAUUACUGGGCGUAAAGCGAGUGUAGGCGGUCUGCUAAGUCGGGUGUGAAGGCCCUGGGCUCAACCCAGGAAGUGCACUCGAAACUGGCGGGCUAGAGUAUCGGAGAGGUUGGUGGAAUUCUCGGUGUAGAGGUGAAAUUCGUAGAUAUCGAGAGGAACACCGGUGGCGAAGGCGGCCAACUGGACGAAUACUGACGCUGAGACUCGAAAGCGUGGGGAGCAAACAGG